This 460-nucleotide ribosomal RNA is filed under the name uncultured bacterium. RNAcentral's name for it is "bacterial SSU rRNA". It matches the Rfam family "Bacterial small subunit ribosomal RNA", at positions 340 to 786 of the family's 1533-position model. The record is from RNAcentral.
UACGGGAGGCAGCAGUGGGGAAGUAUUGCACAAUGGGCGAAAGCCUGAUGCAGCUAUGCCGCGUGUAUGAAGAAGGCCUUAGGGUUGUAAAGUACUUUCAUCGGGGAGGAAAAAACAAAACUAAUAAUUUUAUUUCUUGACGUUACCCGAAAAAGAAGCACCGGCUAACUCCGUGCCAGCAGCCGCGGUAAUACGGAGGGUGCUAGCGUUAAUCAGAAUUACUGGGCGUAAAGAGCACGUAGGUGGUUUUUUAAGUCAGAUGUGAAAUCCCUGGGCUUUAACCUAGGAACUGCAUUUUGAAACUGAAAUACUAGAGUAUCGUAGAGGGAGGUAGAAUUCUAGGUGUAGCGGUGAAAUGCGUAGAUAUCUGGAGGAAUACCUGUGGCGAAAGCGGCCUCCUAAACGAAUACUGACACUGAGGGUGCGAAAAGCGUGGGGAGCAAAACAGGGAUUAGAUACC